This 118-nucleotide transfer RNA is filed under the name Galerina marginata CBS 339.88. RNAcentral's name for it is "tRNA-Ser". The record is from RNAcentral. Lineage: Eukaryota; Fungi; Basidiomycota; Agaricomycetes; Agaricales; Galerinaceae.
GUCACUUUGCCGGAGUGGUUAACGGGAUCGCCUGCUAUAACGUUGAAUAUCGCGAAAGCAAGUAUGUAUAUACAGCGGUUGGGCUUUGCCCGCGAGUGUUCGAAUCGCUCAGGUGACG